GACGAACGCUGGCGGCGUGCUUAACACAUGCAAGUCGAACGGAAAGGCCCUGCUUUUGUGGGGUGCUCGAGUGGCGAACGGGUGAGUAACACGUGAGUAACCUGCCCUUUACUUUGGGAUAACUUCAGGAAACUGGGGCUAAUACCGGAUAGGAACUCCUGCUGCAUGGUGGGGGUUGGAAAGUUUCGGCGGUUGGGGAUGGACUCGCGGCUUAUCAGCUUGUUGGUGGGGUAGUGGCUUAACAAGGCUUUGACGGGUAGCCGGCCUGAGAGGGUGACCGGCCACAUUGGGACUGAGAUACGGCCCAGACUCCUACGGGAGGCAGCAGUGGGGAAUAUUGCACAAUGGGCGGAAGCCGGAUGCAGCAUCGCCGCGUGCGGGAUGACGGCCUUCGGGUUGUAACCCGCUUUCGCCUGUGACGAAGCGUAAGUGACGGUAAUGGGUAAAGAAGCACCGGCUAACUACGUG
RNAcentral lists this ribosomal RNA (468 nucleotides) under uncultured bacterium. Its description in RNAcentral is "partial 16S ribosomal RNA". It matches the Rfam family "Bacterial small subunit ribosomal RNA", at positions 28 to 507 of the family's 1533-position model. The record is from RNAcentral.